This 86-nucleotide transfer RNA is filed under the name Parcubacteria group bacterium ADurb.Bin159. RNAcentral's name for it is "tRNA-Leu". It matches the Rfam family "tRNA". From Rfam's summary of the family: Transfer RNA (tRNA) molecules are approximately 80 nucleotides in length. Their secondary structure includes four short double-helical elements and three loops (D, anti-codon, and T loops). The record is from RNAcentral.
UGCCGAGGUGGUGGAAUUGCUAUACACGAAGGACUUAAAAUCCUUUGAGCGUAAGCUCUUGCGGGUUGGAGUCCCGCCCUCGGCAU